AGAGUUUGAUCCUGGCUCAGGAUGAACACUGGCGGCGUGGAUAAGGCAUGCAAGUCAAACGGCCCGCAAGGGCAGUGGCGAACGGGUUAGUAACACGUGGGUAACGUACCCUAAAGCCGGGCAUAACUUGGAGAAAUCCAGGCUAAUUCCCGAUAGUUCUCGCAAGAGUAAAGGAGUAAUCCGCUUUAGGAGCGGCCCGCGGCUUAUCAGCUUGUUGGUGGGGUAACGGCCUACCAAGGCUAUGACGGGUAGGAGACAUGAGAGUGUGUUCUCCAACAAGGGCAUUGAGAUACGGGCCCUACUCCUACGGGAGGCAGCAGUCGAGAAUAUUGGUCAGUGGGGGAAACCCUGAACCAGCGACGCCGCGUGCUUGAAGAAGCCUUUCGGGGUGUAAAGAGCUUUUAUCCGGGAACAAUCCUUCGGGAUGAGUGUACCGGAUGAAUAAGGGGGUGCUAAUCACGUGCCAGCAGCAGCGGUAAUACGUGAUCCCCAAGUGUUAUCCGGAUUUAUUGGGCGUAAAGAGUCUGUAGGUGGCCAGGAAAGUCUUAGGUUAAAUCCCCAGAGCUCAACUUUGGGAAUGCCCAAGAAACUUCUUGGCUCGAGGGCGUUAGAGGCUGAUGGAACGGUCGGUGUAGGGGUGGUAUCCGUUGAUAUCGACCGGAACACCAAAAGCGAAGGCAUUCAGCUGGGGCGACCCUGACACUGAGAGACGAAAGCGUGGGGAGCAAAAAGGAUUAGAUACCCUUGUAGUCCACGCUGUAAACGAUGGAUACUGGCUAUCUGAAGUGUCGACCCUUCGGGUGGCGAAGCUAACGCGUUAAGUAUCCCGCCUGGGAAGUACGGUCGCAAGGCUAAAACUCAAAGGAAUAGACGGGGCUUCACACAAGCGGUGGACCAUGUGGCUCAAUUCGUCAACAAGCGAAGAACCUUACCAGGGCUUGACAGACUAGUGAAAGUCUUCCGAAAGGUAGAUCUACCCACAAGGACACUAGUCCAGGUGCUGCAUGGUUGUCGUCAGCUCGUAUCUUGAGACGUACCGUUAAGUCGGGUAACGAGCGCAACCCUUAUCCUAUGUUUUAUAUGUCAUAGGAAACUGCCCGGGAUAACCGGGAGGAAGGUGAGGAUGACGCCAAAUCAGCAUGGCCCUUUGAUGCCCUGGGCUGCACACGUGGUACAAUGGGACCAACAAUGGGUUGCUAAAGCGCAAGCUGGAGCUAAUCCCAACAAAUGGUCUCCAAGUUCGAAUUGAGGUCUGAAACCCGACCUCAUGAAGUCGGAAUCGCUAGUAAUCGCAAAUCAGCUACGUUGCGGUGAAUACGUUCCUGAAGCUUGUACUCACCGCCCGUCACGUCAAGCGAGCUGGGAAUGCCCAAAGUGCCUUGAAAGAGGUCCUAAGGCAGGCUCAGUGAGAGGGACGAAGUCGUAACAAGGUAACC
RNAcentral lists this ribosomal RNA (1436 nucleotides) under uncultured Microgenomates group bacterium. RNAcentral's name for it is "uncultured Microgenomates bacterium 16S ribosomal RNA". It matches the Rfam family "Bacterial small subunit ribosomal RNA". The record is from RNAcentral.